AGUGUCCAGCGGUCAUCGCCAGAACGAUCAUGGUAAUCCUGAUUGCAACAUAUUGUACCAAAUGUUCUAGUGCCAUGGGCCCAAGAUGGUGGAAAAUGUGCUGGAGGCAAGAAUGUGUAUGGCUGACACUGGGGUGUGUCACACACAUACACAUAGGAGGCAGCUAAGGGGCUCAAAUGAGGGAAAUUCCAUGCCGGGCCUCAGUGCAUUAACCCUUUCUCUUCUACUCCUGCAAACCAUUUUUGGGAAAUUCCACCCAUCCCAAAUGAUGACACUUCCGGUUCUGACCUCAAUGACAUCACUUCUGGUUCCGACCCCAAUGACAUCACUUCCUCUGGCUUGCCUUAAAUACCAUUGUUUUUCAUCAUUUCCGUGUUGAACUCCAUGAAACCAGUUGCUUUAUUUUGUCUGCAACCACCUGCAAUAUAUGGGGUGUCUACUCCAAACCUUUUUGUGACUCCCUCUUGUUCUUAUUGUGACAGGUGAUUCAGUUUGCAAGACAGACUUCUAGAUGUAACUUUUUGAUGUAACAUAUAAUAUUCUUAAACUUUAAACUUCAUCCAUUUUGGUUUUAAGAGUUUCUAAGUCUAUCCUGGCAACACUGCUCCCAAUACAGUACACAGCCUUGUA
Molecule: long non-coding RNA, 630 nt
Organism: Polypterus senegalus (gray bichir)
Lineage: Eukaryota; Metazoa; Chordata; Cladistia; Polypteriformes; Polypteridae
Exons: 3
Source: RefSeq, a predicted model, not a curated record